UUUUUGUGAUGAUCUCAUUCAGUUCUGCUUCCGAAUAAGGACAACCUCCUUUGUGGAUAGCUGAAAUAUACCAAAAUCAUUUCUGACUU
Molecule: small nucleolar RNA, 89 nt
Filed under: Calocera viscosa TUFC12733
Lineage: Eukaryota; Fungi; Basidiomycota; Dacrymycetes; Dacrymycetales; Dacrymycetaceae
Source: RNAcentral